Molecule: long non-coding RNA, 2434 nt
Filed under: Nicotiana benthamiana
Lineage: Eukaryota; Viridiplantae; Streptophyta; Magnoliopsida; Solanales; Solanaceae
Description: long non-coding RNA (NBEN_LNC007040)
Source: RNAcentral
UCUAUAGCUAAAGUAUGCAUAAUCACCCCAUCCGUUUUCACUAUCCAACCCCAAUAUUUGAUACAAAUUAUUAUAGAUCAGAAUGACUGAAUUACAUCAGAAAAAGUGCAAAAAUAAGAAGUUACAACCAUAGGAAACAUGAUUCUUACUUCCUCUCUGAGUUAUGUAAUAAACCACCUCAAAUGCCAAUGUUGUUUAAAAGCCUUUCUCAUAUUUGGGUGUGUCAGAGUUCCCUAAUGACCUAAUGGGAUCCCUGGCAGUGCUCACCCAAUUUUUCAUAACCAGAUAGAGUGAGUGCAGUGUAGAAGAGCCAGCCCUUAUGUGUCCAAGUUCAGAGGGAGCUCAAGGGUCCAUUUUUUAAGAUAAUUAGUAGAAGAAGUGUUUGAAAUCAAUUGGGGGUAAUGAACAAAAACUCAAACACAUAGAAUCUGUAGUCACACAAAGGGGUCAAGAGGUUUUAGAAACACAUUGCAUGAAGCAUAUGACCCCUGUAGGCGUCAGGUUUAGUCAUGCACAACAAUAGCUGAUGCUGGCAAGCCUACAAACCAACUAGAGAACACAAACACAUAGAGAGGAUAUGGGGGUUUGGGAUUCAUAAGUCAGAAAACACAUAACAAGUGACUGGCAGAGUACAUACAUAGGGGUAUCACUAAUUUAAAAGGGGAAAUGAACAUAUUACAUCAUGCUAUUAAUGUAACUUGACUGCAGAAAACAUAUAGCAAAAGUAGAAAAGAAUGAGAGAAAUUUGAACAAUUAGAGAAACAUGUUGUUGUUGAGGCUAAAAAAUAACUAGAACAUACCAGUAGAGAAGCAAAGUGCAGAAAGGUAAAGUAAUCAAGAUUCCACAGUCUAGCCUUGGCUUUCAGCCGGUUAGACAAAGCAGUACCAUACGUAGCAGUAAAGAAAGAGAGAGUUUUUGAGUGGAAGUGUAUGUUUUGAACUCAAAACUGUUCGUGUAUUUGAAAGAAGAGAGGUUUGGUAUUUUUAGUUUUAAAAACGAGUGAAGCAUAAGGUAAUAAUUAAAGUCUUAACACAAACAUGAAAAUAAUCACAAUCAGAAUUAAUUAACACAAGUGAUUCCCUUUAAUUAAGGAUUCACUGCUAAACGGAUACUAAAAGAUUUAAUUAAGGAAAGAAAUCAGCUUGAGACAGAUUAAUUAUUUCCAUAUAAGGGGCAGUAAAAGCAUGAAGUAAAUAUUCAAGUCUAAGUACAAAAUAUUCUUAGUUUUAGGAAAGGAUUUAGCAAGGUAAAACAUCACAGUAAUUAAAGGAGGGGAAUCAAUUAAUUUAAACAAAUGAAUACAAUUAGGGUUCAUAAGAAAACCAUUUACAAUCAUACGCAACAUUAAGGGAGUCAGAAUCAAUCAAGAAAGGGUCAAGAUUCUGCAUCUCAACUUAUAAAUAGUAAGGAAUGUACCGGCAUACAGAGUCAAACGUGUGGUCAACACAAACGUACAUUACCAACAGGCUAAGCUAGGAUUCAGUAGUAAAAGAAAACUAUUCAAAGCAUAGUAGUCAACAAGGUCAAGUAGUCAUGCAGAAUCAAAAGUGAAGAAAGCAUAGUAACAGGUAAAGAGAGUCAAAAACAAGUAAAGCUCUCAUAGUAACAAGUGAGGAAAAUCUAUUUUAAUAAGUUAGGGAUUCGACCGUAGUCGAGGUUAAAAGAUGAUAAGAACUCAAAAUCAGAUAAGUCAAACAAAGAAAAGAACUUAAUUGAACAAGCAUACCCUCAAACAACAAGGAUAGUUUCCGAACUCGGAUAAGACCAAAAAGAACUAGGGUUUUCAACAUGCUGAAUUAAAUAGAAGGAAAGCAUAAACAAGUUGUUUGAAAAUACUUAAAUCGUAAAAUAACAUAAAAAAUCAGAGAAGAGAUCUUUAAAAACAAUAAAGUAAAGAGAAACCCUAAUCGUUGAAAAAUGAAGAGUCAUUUUUAAAGAAAAUCGAAGAACCUUCAGGAAAACACUUAUAAAGUUUAUAAUAAGCACAUAUCUAAAAUAAAUCUGGAAGAAAAUUGAAAGAUCUUUAAGGUUAGGGUUUCAGAGAACCCAGAAAAAGGGAGAAAGACUUUGAAAGGUUACCGAUCUAGCCGGAAAGGUCAAGGAUCUGCCUUGAACAACCAUGGAUGGCCUGAGUAAGACCAGAGACGGAGGUUGAGGAAGGAGUUGACCAUAUCUCUUUGAGAUCUGGCCAUGAAAUCACAGAAACAAACACCUAGGAUCCAUAGGAGGCCGAUAGACAUCUCAAAUAUCCAUGAGAGGCCAUGGAUUAGGAAGGGAUUACGGUGGAUUAGGGUGGAAUUAGAUGGCGGCGGCCAGGGUUGAUGUGAGGUUGCAUAGAAAAUUGAAAAAGAAGGGUUGCAAAGGUGACAGAUGAUGGGAAAUGAGUUAGGGUAAGAGGUCAUAUAGGAUUAUUUUAGGAAGGGUGAACGGUGG